This 234-nucleotide unclassified non-coding RNA is filed under the name Hevea brasiliensis (rubber tree). Lineage: Eukaryota; Viridiplantae; Streptophyta; Magnoliopsida; Malpighiales; Euphorbiaceae. The record is from RNAcentral.
CAGGAGGUCAAACACCUUCUUCUGCAUAAUUAAAUUAAACGUUCAGAUCAUGAAGCAACAGAUCAGUUCAAAACUAUGAGAAACUAAGAGUUCAUAAGAUCGCAUUACCUGGAAGCCAGUAAGACCAUCAAUACCAGCAGCUGCAUCCUCAACCUUCUGUUUCUCUUUCUCAAUGCCAAACUUUGGCUUCCACUUUGUCUGCCUGAGUGCCUCUGCAACCUUUUCAUUGUCUGC